Dryococelus australis is the source of this 70-nucleotide non-coding RNA. The record is from the annotation of a GenBank genome assembly. Lineage: Eukaryota; Metazoa; Arthropoda; Insecta; Phasmatodea; Phasmatidae.
GCCCCAUUGGCCAAAUGGUUUAAGGCAUCCGCCUCCUAAGCGGAAGUCGGGUUCGAGUCCCGUGGGGGUG